UUGUCAUAUGGAAGUUCAAGCAGCAAGGGGAGCCUCUGAUCCCUAGAGGCACCUCCCAGUGGUUUCAGCACCCAGGAGGCAAGCUAAGGAGAGGCAGGUUGUACUGAUUUUCAAGGAUCGGAGAUUUGAUGAAGAGGAUUCAUUUCAAGAAAUAAACCUUUUAAAUUAACCGCAAGAUGAGGGAAAUUUCUUUAUUUAAAAAAUGCGCCAGCCCCUUCUUUGUUUCUUUUAUUAUUAUUAAUAUUAUUUUCCAUCCGGCUCUGGGUCAUUAAGGAGGGUCCAGAAGUCACAGAUUGCCUUUCUGAAGGAGGAGAGCUGAGAACUUCGAAUGUCACACAUUUUGUCUGGCUCCAAACCCUUCAUUUAUUGCAACACAAUUUGUUACCUGUGGUUGGCUCUGCACACCAUUGUGUGCUGUGCGCCAGGACUGAUUUAGCAGGGAAUGUCCUCUCCACCUUGAACUUGAAAGGGGGAAAAUCUCUUGAGAGAGGCGAUAGAAGAAUCAUGAAAGUCAGUCUUCCAGCUACUUAAGAAGAGAAAUGACCUUUGAGGUCUGGGUAAAGUCCCCUCAAGCUUUGACAGGGAUGGAGCUCAGGAAACCCUGGUUAUAACAAAGGCAGAUGGUUCUGUGAGGGCACAUUUAAGAUGCAGGGGUAAAGAAAUGGAAAAAAAGAAAUCCUGGAACCAACACGUGUCCUGAUGUGCCAUCCUGCCAUAGAAGUGUGCAGAUUGCAGUGGACAAUCGCCAAGGCUGGAGGCAAAGGACGGGUCAAGAUGAUUAAAGGACUAGUGCCAUGUUACCCUCGUCUUCCUUGGCAAGGCUGCAAAGGACCAUCUUUGAGGAUGGUAGUUUCUUUCUGAACCAUUUGGGAAUAGUUUGCUCCCCUCCAGUCCUUCCUGGCCACAGCUUCCUUGUAACUCCCUGCAAAAGCUCCUGCAACCUAAUUGCAAAUGUAGCCUCCCAGUUCCCCAGCAUUCUGCCUGGCUGCAGCAUGGAGAGAGGCAAAAUAAGAUUGCUGGAGCAAGCAUCUGCUGUCUUCCAUAAGAAAACUUUUCUUUUUUAGAUAGGUUCAUUUCAAACCCCAAAUGGUUGAGCCUCUUUCCUAUUUGAACAAGAGCCAGUCCUUCAGAAACACAACUGCUCACCUAACCAUAGGUGACCACCUUAGUUGUGUAGGAUGAACCUGCACCAGAGGCUUUUCACAGGUGAUGUCUGGGAAUGGACAGCUUUUGGGCCCUGGAGCCAUCUGCAUUCCUCGGUCCCAGUGAGGCUUCCUGAUCCAAACCCUAGUGUGGGCCCUCCUUGAAGCCAUCCUCUUUGCAGGAAGAACCUGGCUACUGGUGAGACUACAGCCAGUGCACCACUGUCCUCGGAUGAGAAAUGCAACGUUUGCCCUACUGGAGAGUCCCAGAACAGGGCAGGUGGGCAGCAGCAAUUGCCUGAGCUAGAGGGGAGCCAAGACACCAGGGUUAACAGCCCUCAUCUUGGGAAGAAAAAAAGACACAGGAUCUUUAAUGACCAAAAUGGCUGAGACCUUUGUUUUAUACCUCUUCUGAAAAGCAAUCACACACAUUUUAGCAGGGGAGCUUUUAUUCUCAUGCGGAUGGGGUAGCCAGUGCAGUGUCCUCUCCCAAGCGCAUCCAGACCUGGUCAGUCCAAGUGCACAGAAGAGCAACAUGAAACAUGUUUGACCUUCACAACUUUCCUUUACAGACCAGCAGGAUAAAACCCUGAAGGAAUUCUCCUGAGUGAGUUUGUCCAAAGCAACAUUCACCACCUCAUUCAAUAUUUGCCUGCAAAAAAAAUGCCAAUUAUUGAAAGACAGUCCUGGCUGGGCAUCAAUAGGCAGCCAGGUGUGAGAAGUUGAAGAGAAAUGCAUCUCAUUAAUGUGGAAUUGUUUUUAGGUUAAUAAUCUUGCGUUAAUUUUCCUUUAAAAUAUUGUCUUUGACCGUUAAACGCUUGCACUGUUAUAAAAAGAACGUAAUAAAUGAUCUUGAAGCAAA
Pezoporus occidentalis (night parrot) is the source of this 2004-nucleotide long non-coding RNA. RefSeq lists it as uncharacterized. The transcript is spliced from 2 exons. The record is from RefSeq and is a predicted model, not a curated record. Lineage: Eukaryota; Metazoa; Chordata; Aves; Psittaciformes; Psittacidae.